GGUAGCAAUACCUGGUGGCGACCGGCGCACAGGUGCGUAACACGUAUAUAAUCUGCCUUUAACUGGGGGAUAGCCCGGAGAAAUCCGGAUUAAUACCCCAUAAUAUAUUGGAUGGCAUCAUUCGAUAUUGAAAGCUCCGGCGGUUAGAGAUGAGUAUGCGUCUGAUUAGUUAGUUGGUGAGGUAACGGCUCACCAAGACUUCGAUCAGUAGGGGAUCUGAGAGGAUUAACCCCCACACGGAUACUGAGACACGGAUCCGACUCCUACGGGAGGCAGCAGUAAGGAAUAUUGGACAAUGCCCGCAAGGGUGAUCCAGCCAUGCCGCGUGCAGGAAGACGGCCCUAUGGGUUGUAAACUGCUUUUACACCGGAGAAAACCCCUUCUCGUGAGGAGGGCUGAUAGUAUGGUGAGAAUAAGCAUCGGCUAACUUCGUGCCAGCAGCCGCGGUAAGACGAANGAUGCAAGCGUUAUCCGGAUUCAUUGGGUUUAAAGGGAGCGUAGGUGGCCUUAUAAGUCAGUGGUGAAAUCCUGCAGCUUAACUGUAGAAUUGCCAUUGAUACUGUCAGGGCUUGAGUGUAGUUGCCGUUGGCGGAAUAUGACAUGUAGUGGUGAAAUACAUAGAGAUGUCAUAGAACACCGAUUGCGAAGGCAGCUGACGAAACUAUAACUGACACUGAGGCUCGAAAGUGUGGGGAUCAAACAGGAUUAGAUACCCUGGUAGUCCACACUGUAAACGAUGAUUACUCGCUGCUAGAGGGUAACUUUUAGUGGCCAAGCGAAAGCGAUAAGUAAUCCACCUGGGGAGUACGCCGGCAACGGUGAAACUCAAAGGAAUUGACGGGGGCCCGCACAAGCGGAGGAGCAUGUGGUUUAAUUCGAUGAUACGCGAGGAACCUUACCAGGGCUUGAAAGUUAGUGACCGCUCCUGAAAGGGAGCUUCCCNGCAAGGGCACAAAACUAGGUGCUGCAUGGCUGUCGUCAGCUCGUGCCCCCGAGGUGUUGGGUUUAAGUUCCCGCCAACGAGCCGCAACCCCUACCAUUANUUGCCAGCGGUUCCGNCCGGGGAUUCUAAAUGGAACUGCCCCCCCAAGCCGAAANGAANGUGGGGAUGACUCCAGUCCUCCCGGCCCUUACUCCUGGGCUACCCACU
Molecule: ribosomal RNA, 1150 nt
Filed under: uncultured Alistipes sp.
Lineage: Bacteria; Pseudomonadati; Bacteroidota; Bacteroidia; Bacteroidales; Rikenellaceae
Description: bacterial SSU rRNA
Rfam family: Bacterial small subunit ribosomal RNA
Source: RNAcentral